CGGGUGAGUAACGCGUGGUCAACCGACCGUUGAGUGGGGGAUAACUAGCCGAAAGGCUAGCUAAUACCGCAUACGUCUCUGAGGGGCAUCCCUUGGCGAUAAAAGGAGCAAUCCGCUCGAUGACGGGACCGCGUCCCAUUAGCUAGAUGGUGGGGUAACGGCCUACCAUGGCACCGAUGGGUAGCUGGUUUGAGAGAGCGACCAGCCACACUGGGACUGAGACACGGCCCAG
Molecule: ribosomal RNA, 232 nt
Filed under: uncultured bacterium
Lineage: Bacteria
Description: partial 16S ribosomal RNA
Rfam family: Bacterial small subunit ribosomal RNA
Source: RNAcentral